GACGAACGCUGGCGGCGUGCUUAACACAUGCAAGUCGAACGAAGAGCGACGGAAGCUUGCUUCUAUCACUCUUAGUGGCGAACGGGUGAGUAACGCGUAAUCAACCUGCCCUUCAGAGGGGGACAACAGUUGGAAACGACUGCUAAUACCGCAUACGAUCUAAUCUCGGCAUCGAGGAUGGAUGAAAGGUGGCCUCUACAUGUAAGCUAUCACUGAAGGAGGGGAUUGCGUCUGAUUAGCUAGUUGGAGGGGUAACGGCCCACCAAGGCGAUGAUCAGUAGCCGGUCUGAGAGGAUGAACGGCCACAUUGGGACUGAGACACGGCCCAGACUCCUACGGGAGGCAGCAGUGGGGAAUCUUCCGCAAUAGACGAAAGUCUGACGGAGCAACGCCGCGUGAGUGAUGACGGCCUUCGGGUUGUAAAGCUCUGUUAAUCGGGACGAAAGGCCUUCUUGCGAAUAGUGAGAAGGAUUGACGGUACCGGAAUAGAAAGCCACGGCUAACUACGUG
RNAcentral lists this ribosomal RNA (510 nucleotides) under uncultured bacterium. RNAcentral's name for it is "partial 16S ribosomal RNA". It matches the Rfam family "Bacterial small subunit ribosomal RNA", at positions 28 to 507 of the family's 1533-position model. The record is from RNAcentral.